AAUUUUGGACGAUGGGGGCAACCCUGAUACAGCCAUCCCGAGUUUGCGAUGCAGGCCUUAGGGAUGUAAAGCACUGUUGACUGGGAAGUAAAGGCUCUGGCUAAUACCUGGAGCUGCUGACAGUACUCGCAGAAUAAGGACCGGGUACCUACGUACAAGCAGCCGCGGUAAUACGUAGGGUGCAAGCGUUAAUCGGAAUUACUGGGCUUAAAGCUUCCGCCGGCGGUUCGGCAAGAAGGAUAUGAAACCCCAGAGCUUAACUUUGGAACUGCACUUUUAACUGCCAGGCUAGAGUAUGUCAGAGGGGCGUAGAAUUCCGCGUGUAGCAGUGAAAUGCGUAGAGAUGCGAAGGAAUACCAAUGGCGAAGGCAGCCCCCUGGGAUAAUACUGACGCUCAUGCACGAUAGCGUGCGGAGCAAAC
RNAcentral lists this ribosomal RNA (421 nucleotides) under uncultured bacterium. RNAcentral's name for it is "partial 16S ribosomal RNA". It matches the Rfam family "Bacterial small subunit ribosomal RNA", at positions 360 to 773 of the family's 1533-position model. The record is from RNAcentral.